Molecule: unclassified non-coding RNA, 891 nt
Filed under: Leishmania donovani
Lineage: Eukaryota; Euglenozoa; Kinetoplastea; Trypanosomatida; Trypanosomatidae
Description: gene:unknown
Source: RNAcentral
UGACCCUGCCCUAUUGCCUCUUAGCGUUCUAUCCAUCGACCUGCACCUGCACACAUGAGCUGCAAAAAGUUUGACUCCUUGCCGAUGUUGACUGCCUCUCUUCUCAUGUUCCUCCUCUUCGCCAGCCAGCGGGAUCUCUCCUGCCUUUUCUGCCGCGUGUUUUGCCAUCUCACGAGGAAAAACUGAAAGAAAAAAGGUAUCACCUGGUACGUCUUGUGCUGCGGUACCUCGGAUUUGGUGCAUUUUUCUCCUCGGCUCAUUUCUUCCCAGCCUGGGAGACUCCCGUUUCUCUCACUGCUUGUUUUCGGUCGAUGCUCAUUGUGUCCGCGUGGGCGUUGACUUUCCGCUUCCCACCCUCCGCCCACCUUGAUUUGGGCCAGGAAUUUUCGGAUGAAAAGGGUUAGGCUCUCCCUCCUUGUCGUAUAGAGCACAAUCUCUCAGAAAGCCUUCAGCCUCACUUCAUCAAAAAAAAGCGCUGCAGCCACAUUGCUGACUGAUCGGCGAUUACCGUGGGCGGUCGAUGCAGUUUCACUCCCUUCAUCCAGGGCACGCACUUAUGCAGACAGGUGCACGGUUUUAGAUUACCGGUGGCUAGUACCCACCGUAUUUUCCGAUAAACUUGUAUAAUACGAGGCAGAAAGGAAGAGCUAGAAAGUGCGCGCACUCGAUGAGUCAUCUCCUCUUUGGUGGACCGACGCGCCAUGACGAGGUGAGGCCAACGGCAGCAAACGUAGCCGAGAUCUUUCGUUUUUUUUCUUUUUCAGCACGUUUAUCGAAGAGCAUUGUGCGUUUCGUUCUGAAGAGCAGCGACAAGCGUGCCAGAGGUUAGUAACCUAAUAAAAACGAUAACUCGGUACCGGUAUGGGUUAGGGUUUUUCUCUCGACUGAUUC